CAACCACGUUCUGGGCAACCGUGAGGCACGCAUCAUUGAUGUGGAUGCCCUCUGCAUGGAGAACAGGUAUUUGCAGGAGCGGUUGAGCCAACUGCAAGAGGAGGUGAACCUGCUGAAAUCCAACAGCAUGAAAUACAAGACAGCUCUUGAGAGGAGGAAGAACUCCAGCACGUACGGAAAAUCAAACAGCAGCAGUCCGCUAACUGGAGUCCUCUCGGCAA
Notothenia coriiceps (black rockcod) is the source of this 221-nucleotide long non-coding RNA. RefSeq lists it as uncharacterized. The record is from RefSeq and is a predicted model, not a curated record. The transcript is spliced from 3 exons. NCBI's taxonomy places the organism in Eukaryota, Metazoa, Chordata, Actinopteri, Perciformes, Nototheniidae.